Molecule: ribosomal RNA, 430 nt
Filed under: uncultured bacterium
Lineage: Bacteria
Description: partial 16S ribosomal RNA
Rfam family: Bacterial small subunit ribosomal RNA
Source: RNAcentral
UAGGGAAUCUUCCACAAUGGACGCAAGUCUGAUGGAGCAACGCCGCGUGAGUGAAGAAGGCUUUCGGGUCGUAAAACUCUGUUAUUGAAGAAGAACGUGCGUGACAGUAACUGGUCAUGCAGUGACGGUAUUCAAUCAGAAAGUCACGGCUAACUACGUGCCAGCAGCCGCGGUAAUACGUAGGUGGCAAGCGUUGUCCGGAUUUAUUGGGCGUAAAGCGAGUGCAGGCGGUCUUUUAAGUCUGAUGUGAAAGCCUUCGGCUUAACCGAAGAAGGGCAUCGGAAACUGGGAGACUUGAGUGCAGAAGAGGAGAGUGGAACUCCAUGUGUAGCGGUGAAAUGCGUAGAUAUAUGGAAGAACACCAGUGGCGAAGGCGGCUCUCUGGUCUGUAACUGACGCUGAGGCUCGAAAGCGUGGGUAGCAAACAGGA